AUGUGUGUUGAUUGUAGAGGCAUUAAUAAUAUUACUAUUCGUUAUCGUCAUCCUAUUCCUAGGCUAGAUGAUAUGCUUGAUGAAUUGAGUGGCUCUACAAUAUACUCCAAAGUUGAUUUGCGUAGUGGAUACCAUCAAAUUCGUAUGAAAUUGGGAGAUGAAUGGAAAACAGCAUUUAAAACUAAGUUUGGUUUAUAUGAGUGGUUAGUCAUGCCUUUUGGGUUAACUAAUGCACCUAGUAUUUUCAUGAGACUAAUGAACGAAGUUUUACGUGCUUUCAUUGGACGAUUUGUGGUAGUCUAUUUUGAUGGUAUACUGAUUUAUAGCAAAUCUUUGGAAGAACAUUUGGAACAUUUACGUGUUGUUUUUAUUGCUCUACAUGAUGCACGUUUGUUUGGUAACCUUGGGAAGUGCACCUUUUGCACCGACCGAGUAUCUUUUCUUGGCUAUGUUGUUACUCCACGGGGAAUUGAAGUUGAUAAAGCCAAGAUUGAAGCUAUUGAGAGUUGGCCGCAACCCAAAACGGUCACACAAGUGCGGAGUUUUCUUGGACUCGCUGGUUUCUAUAGGCGUUUUGUGAGAGAUUUUAGCACCAUUGCUGCACCUCUCAACGAGCUUACAAAGAAGGAUGUGCCUUUUAUUCGGGGUACCGCAUAG
RNAcentral lists this ribosomal RNA (657 nucleotides) under Triticum aestivum (bread wheat). Its description in RNAcentral is "partial small subunit ribosomal RNA". The record is from RNAcentral. Lineage: Eukaryota; Viridiplantae; Streptophyta; Magnoliopsida; Poales; Poaceae.